Small nuclear RNA from Ursus americanus (American black bear), 104 nucleotides. The record is from Ensembl. NCBI's taxonomy places the organism in Eukaryota, Metazoa, Chordata, Mammalia, Carnivora, Ursidae.
GGGCUCACUUUGGCAGCACAUAUACUAAAAUUGGGAAGAUAAAGAGAUAAGCAUGGCCCAUGCACAAGGAUGACACAUAAAUUUGUGAAGUGUUCCAUAUUUUU